Brachypodium distachyon (stiff brome) is the source of this 890-nucleotide long non-coding RNA. RefSeq lists it as uncharacterized. The record is from RefSeq and is a predicted model, not a curated record. NCBI's taxonomy places the organism in Eukaryota, Viridiplantae, Streptophyta, Magnoliopsida, Poales, Poaceae. The transcript has 5 exons.
UCUGAAGCAACCUUCACCGAUGCCGAAGGGGUAUGGGAUGGUGAGAUUGCCACAUGUUUCUCUGCAUCCAGGCUUCGCCAUCCUGGACGCUGUGCUGCUCUUGAUGGUUGGUAGCAGCAGGGUGGCUGCAAAGAUUAGCCACGCAUGUAGACUAGGUCAGAGUGGUUUUGGGGGUAUGAACCAAUCUGUUUGCUCUGCAAUGCGAGACCGCGGCUUAAUUAGCAGUUUUGUUUCGUCUUUGACGGAGACAAAGAGGUGUUGUGACUGGGCCAGGGACAGGCUUUGGUCAAGACCGCGACACAUGCACGGAAGACAGGUUCCCUGACGCAGCCGCUGUGUAUAUAUGUGCGAUUAAUUGGGCCAAGUCGUCAAAGGAAACCUUAUAAAAGCAGAAGGAGAUGAACUGAUGGACAUACAGUUUGUUGCAGGGAAAUUUACCGGGUCUUCUGAAAGUCCCCGUUCAGUGGUAUAUAUUAUCAGGGGAAUGACCGAAGGCAUCUCUGAUUGAGCCUCUUGUCAAUGGUUUCAAAUAGCGGGCUAUAGCGGCGCUAUGCCGACUUGAGCAAGAUUAUGCAAGAUUUAGCUGCUGGAGAGAGCUGCCGCUGAACAUUGUAGCCCGCUAUUUGUAACUGCCUCCCAUCAUCAAGGAGGCUCCGAGGAAAGCUUUAGCCUUGCUUUGCAUGCCUGGAUGUGAACUUCCCACCUGAGCUGAGGACGACGGGCCGGCUUAAAUAAUUGGUGGUCUUUGGAAAAUUUACAUCAUCGACUUAAUUAAUUGGCGGUGUUUGGAAACCCAGGGUGUUUUUUUUUUCUGGGAACACGUCAAUUACUACCAACUGUGACCGCUAUCAAAGUGAUUUUGCAAGUACCAGUGACCUCUAUCAAAAAUA